This 801-nucleotide ribosomal RNA is filed under the name uncultured Bacteroidota bacterium. RNAcentral describes it as "bacterial SSU rRNA". It matches the Rfam family "Bacterial small subunit ribosomal RNA", at positions 1 to 799 of the family's 1533-position model. Lineage: Bacteria; Pseudomonadati; Bacteroidota. The record is from RNAcentral.
AGGAGAGUUUGAUCCUGGCUCAGGAUGAACGCUAGCGGCAGGCCUAACACAUGCAAGUCGAGGGGCAGCGGGAGGUAGCAAUACCUUGCCGGCGACCGGCGCACGGGUGCGUAACGCGUAUGCAACCUACCUUUAAGAGGGGGAUAACGGAGGGAAACUUCCACUAAUACCCCGUAUAGUCGGAGAGCCGCAUGACUUUCCGACGAAAGCUACGGUGCUUAAAGAUGGGCAUGCGUGACAUUAGCUAGUUGGCGGGGCAACGGCCCACCAAGGCUGCGAUGUCUAGGGGAGCUGAGAGGCUAAUCCCCCACACUGGUACUGAGACACGGACCAGACUCCUACGGGAGGCAGCAGUGAGGAAUAUUGGUCAAUGGAGGGAACUCUGAACCAGCCAUGCCGCGUGAGGGAAGACGGCCCUAUGGGUUGUAAACCUCUUUUGCACGGGAGUAAUAAGGGCGGUGCGCCGCCUGAUGAGAGUACCGUGCGAAUAAGCAUCGGCUAACUCCGUGCCAGCAGCCGCGGUAAUACGGAGGAUGCAAGCGUUAUCCGGAUUUAUUGGGUUUAAAGGGUGCGUAGGCGGACCCUUAAGUCAGCGGUGAAAUAUCCCGGCUCAACCGGGAGGCUGCCGUUGAUACUGGGGGUCUCGAGGGCGAACGGCGCCGGCGGAAUGUGUCAUGUAGCGGUGAAAUGCAUAGAUAUGACACAGAACACCGAUCGCGAAGGCAGCUGGCGAGGACGCGACUGACGCUGAGGCACGAAGGUGCGGGGAUCAAACAGGAUUAGAUACCCUGGUAGUCCCCU